CAAGUUCAAAUGAUUCUCCUAGCUUAGCCUCCUGAGUAGCUGGGAUUACAAGUACCUGCCACAAUGCCUGGCUAAUUUUUGUAUUUUUAGUAGAGAUGGGGUUUCACCAUGUUGGCCAGACUGGUCUCGAACUCCUGACCUUGUGAUCUACCUGCCUCAGUCAGUGUUGGGAUUACAGCUGUGAGCCACUGUGCCCAGCCUGUCUUUUCUUUCCAAAGCCACCCUUGGUGAUUACAUGUUAAAUAUGUACUAAUGGAUAUUACUUUGCUGAAUAUUGCCUAGUGAAUAUUAAGUAUUUAUUCUCACCUUGCAGACGUGAACUUGUGAGUUCGACACAUGAAGAUUUACAACUUGAUAAACCAGCUUCAGGAGUAAAGGAAGAAUAGUAUGCCAGAAUCACUAAAUUAAAAAAGGUGGUGGAUCAGCUUUUCUGCAAAAAAUUUUGUAACUCCAGUUGGACUCCAUUGUUUCCAAGUCGACUUUCGUCCUCAUCCACAGCUCCUCCACACAAGCCCUGAACACCUGUUCAUUUGAAGCUCUUGGACUCACUGAGGCAGUAAAAGUACCAUCUCCUGUGUUUGAAUCAAACCCCGAGUGCCUGUAUGUAGAAGGCUUGCAGACAGGACUUCCUUUCAAAACCCUCCUGGUUUGGAAUUCCAUGACUUGAAAGGAUCGUCCAUGGGGGUAAUAAAAUCAAGUUUGUUGUUAAAAAAGUAAGUUC
Molecule: long non-coding RNA, 721 nt
Filed under: Piliocolobus tephrosceles (Ugandan red Colobus)
Lineage: Eukaryota; Metazoa; Chordata; Mammalia; Primates; Cercopithecidae
Description: lncRNA (ENSPTEG00000009078.1)
Source: RNAcentral